GGAUGUGAGGGCGAUCUGGCUGCAACAUCUGUCACCCCAUUGAUCGCCAGGGUUGAUUCGGCUGAUCUGGCUGGCUAGGCGGGUGUCCCCUUCCUCCCUCACCGCUUCAUGUGCGUCCCUCCCGAAGCUGCGAGCUUGGUCAAAGAGGACGACCAUCCAUAAUAGAGGAGGACCGUUCUUCAGUCAAGGGUAUACGGGUAGCUGAGCUCCCCUGCUAGAACCUCCAAUCAAGCUCUCAGCACUCAGGAGGCAGAGGCAACAGGAUAUGGAAGUUGAAGGCCAGCCUGAACUAUAGCAAGACCUU
This 304-nucleotide small nuclear RNA is filed under the name Castor canadensis (American beaver). RNAcentral's name for it is "7SK RNA (ENSCCNG00000015294.1)". It matches the Rfam family "7SK RNA". From Rfam's summary of the family: 7SK was discovered as an abundant small nuclear RNA in the mid-70s but a possible function has only recently been suggested. Two independent studies have found that 7SK RNA binds the CDK9/cyclin T complex (known as elongation factor P-TEFb). P-TEFb activates transcription by phosphorylating the C-terminal domain of RNA polymerase II. The record is from RNAcentral. Lineage: Eukaryota; Metazoa; Chordata; Mammalia; Rodentia; Castoridae.